AAGGGCACAGCUCAGUGAUAGAGCGCAUGCUUAGCAUGCAUGAGGUCAUGGGUUCGAUCCCCAGUACCUCCA
Molecule: transfer RNA, 72 nt
Filed under: Camelus bactrianus (Bactrian camel)
Lineage: Eukaryota; Metazoa; Chordata; Mammalia; Artiodactyla; Camelidae
Also listed under: 1 other name
Rfam family: tRNA
About the family: Transfer RNA (tRNA) molecules are approximately 80 nucleotides in length.
Source: Rfam by way of RNAcentral